RNAcentral lists this ribosomal RNA (253 nucleotides) under uncultured bacterium. RNAcentral's name for it is "partial 16S ribosomal RNA". It matches the Rfam family "Bacterial small subunit ribosomal RNA", at positions 524 to 776 of the family's 1533-position model. The record is from RNAcentral.
UACGUAGGGUGCGAGCGUUGUCCGGAAUUAUUGGGCGUAAAGAGCUCGUAGGCGGUUUGUUGCGUCGGCUGUGAAAUCCCGAGGCUCAACCUCGGGUCUGCAGUCGAUACGAGCAGACUAGAGUGUUGCAGGGGAGACUGGAAUUCCUGGUGUAGCGGUGAAAUGCGCAGAUAUCAGGAGGAACACCGGUGGCGAAGGCGGAUCUCUGGGCCGAUACUGACGCUGAGACGCGAAAGCGUGGGGAGCAAACAGG